AAGUCGUAACAAGGUUUCCGUAGGUGAACCUGCGGAAGGAUCAUUAGUGAAUAAACUUGUGUGGGUUGUUGCUGGCCUCCUUGGAGGUAUGUGCACGCCUGCCAUUGUUUCAUUUCCCCUUCCACCUGUGCACUUUUGUAGACCAGCCGUCACUUUUCAGGUUGCUUGCAUCCUGGUUAUGAGGAUUUGCUCUGGCUGUCCUUGGUUGUCAGCAGUCUAUGUCUUUUAUCAACUCUGUAUGUAACCGAAUGUUUGUUCUGGGUUCUAUACCCAUAAAAUCUAUACAACUUUCAACAACGGAUCUCUUGGCUCUC
This 314-nucleotide unclassified non-coding RNA is filed under the name Pluteus multiformis. Its description in RNAcentral is "partial internal transcribed spacer region". The stretch from base 1 to 46 matches the Rfam family "Eukaryotic small subunit ribosomal RNA", at positions 1786 to 1831 of the family's 1831-position model. Lineage: Eukaryota; Fungi; Basidiomycota; Agaricomycetes; Agaricales; Pluteaceae. The record is from RNAcentral.